GUUGAGCUUGAUGAUGGCUCUGAAUGAACGCUGUCCAAAUGCUUGACACAUGCUAAUCGAACGACUUCACUCCUAUGGAGGGAUGUAGUGGUGUACAGGUGAGUAUAAGAUAAUGUAACUACCUUGGAGUAAGGAGAAAGAUCCCUUAUAAUAAUAAAGAAAGUUAAGUUUCGCUCUUAGAUGUUCAUAUCUCGUGCGUGGUAGUAGUUAAGAUUAAAAGCCUAACUAGCUAAACGCACGUAGUCGUAACUGAAAGGUUGAUCGACCACAGUGGGGCUGAAGAAAACCCAUGACGAUAGUCACAGCAGUGAGGAAUUUUGGUCAAUAGCCUAACGGCUGAACCAGCAACUUGGAGGAAUGUAUAGCAAUAGCUACUUGUAUCAUUAAUGAUGCAAGCUCGACUAUGUUGAAUAAAAUUCUAGGUAGAAUUAUGAUAAUGACAUUGUCUGCCUAUGUGUCUUGACCAAAUUACGUGCCAGCAGUCGCGGUAAUACGUAGAAGACUAGUGUUAUUCAUGUUUAAUCGGUUUAAAGGGUACCUAGACGGUGAAUAAAGCUUUAAAUAAAUAAAAAAAGGGACUAAUUUACUAGAGUUACUUACGAGGGGGUAUUAAAGUACUGCUGGUGUAGAGAUGAAAUUCUGUCAUACCUCUUUCGAAAGAAAAAUCAUGGCACAGGUAUAGGCGAAGGCAUCCCCUUAUGUGAUAACUGACGUUGAGGGACGAAGGCUUCGUGUAACAAACAGGAUUAGAUACCCUAGUAGUUGAAGCAGAAAAUGAUGAAUGUCAUAGAUUAGACGUCUAAGUUUAUUCUAUAAAUGAAAGUGUAAGCAUUCCACCUCAUGAGUAAUUUGGCAACAUUGGAAUUGAAAUCAUUAGACCGUUUCUGAAACCAGUAGUGAAGUAUGUUGUUUAAUUUGAUAAUCCGCAAAAAACCUUACCACAAUUUGAAUAUUUAUAUUGUUUAUUGUUAUCUCAUUAAUUUUCUUCUUUUUUUUUACUUUAUUAAAAAACUAAACAAUUAAAGAACAAAAACAGGAAUAGAGAAUAAAAUUAAUCAAGAGGCAAUAACAUAUAUCUACAAGCGUUGCACGGCUGUCUUCAGUUAAUGUCGUGAGACUUUGGUUAGUUCCAUUAAAUUAACGUAAACCCUUACUUUAUUUUUUAUAUAGAGUAGUUCCCCGCUAUAUUGGAUAUGAUAACAGGGACUAAGACAAGUCAUCAUGGCCUAGAUAUUGUGGGCUAUAGACGUGCCACAUAAACCUUACAAAAGGGUGUGAAAUUGUGAAAUUGAGCUAAUCCCCCAAAACUGGAUAUACACUCACAAUGGAUUGUAGUCUGUAACUCGACUACGUGAAAUAGGAAUUACUAGUAAUCGUGUAUAAGUACGGCACGGUGAAUCUAAUCUCAGAUAGGUACUAACCACUCGUCAGGCGCCGAAAAAAGUAUGUGCAAUAAGUUUGGCUAGUGUUUAUUCUCAAUUUAGGCGAUUUGGUCUAAUAACUUAGGCAUGGUGUCUUCGUAUGCGUGACUUUGAUUGGGGUUAAGUCGAAAUACGGUUCGUGUAGUGGAAAUUGCACGGGAUUAAUAAAUAUUAAAA
RNAcentral lists this ribosomal RNA (1598 nucleotides) under Parmotrema stuppeum. RNAcentral describes it as "SSU rRNA". It matches the Rfam family "Bacterial small subunit ribosomal RNA". The record is from RNAcentral. Lineage: Eukaryota; Fungi; Ascomycota; Lecanoromycetes; Lecanorales; Parmeliaceae.